Molecule: unclassified non-coding RNA, 2601 nt
Filed under: Hevea brasiliensis (rubber tree)
Lineage: Eukaryota; Viridiplantae; Streptophyta; Magnoliopsida; Malpighiales; Euphorbiaceae
Source: RNAcentral
AUAAUUAGCAGUCCCCUUCCAAAUCCUGAUCAACUUUCAACAGGUCUUGCAGAGAAGAAAGUAAAAGAAUUCAAUACAAUAAUAGAUAAGCAAACCCUAUAUACACCAAACUCUUGGUGGUUGAAGGGUUUUGGAGACAUGUAUUAAUGGAAUUGCGUCAACCACUAUUAUAUACACCUUAUAAUGGCAUAGCUACCAAGUAGACUACCUAUCAUUUUGAUCACAUUCACCUGCUAUAUACAGAUACAUGAAUUUUUAACUAUUUGAUUUAACCACUUUUCUAUAUAGCUUUCAUUUUCCUCUUAAUCCUGACUAAUGCUAUCAAAGUAGUCCUUCUCGCCCAUGGCACAUGGGAUACAAGGAGGAUCUUGAGCUUGGUCUUGAGGAGUGAUACGCUGCAAGCAAGAAUCAUGAAAGUGGUGGCCGCAUGGCAAGACAGCAGCAGUUAUUGGUUUCUCUGGCUGGUGUAUGGGGCCUUCUGGAGUGAAUGACAGAUCCCUCUUGCAUAUAUGACAUUGAUUUCCACUCGGUUGAGGAGUUUUAACGUCUCCUUGCCUUCCUUGCCACUUGAUAUGGUGAGGUGAAGAAGUUCUGGGCAAGGAUGAAAGACGAGAAGUGUAGGCUGUAGGUGGGCGACUGGGAAAACUCCGGGGUACGAGGGGGCUUAAGGAAUCAACCGAAGUUAGAGGAGCAUGUGUUGGACUAGUUUGGAGCAAUGUUGGAGCAGACAGAUGACUGGCAGGUCUAAUUGAUCUGGACCUUUUGCACCAAGGCUGGGGAGCGUUGGGAGGGCAUAUGGGUGAUCCCCUCUUAAGAAAUCGUCCGGAAGGAACACAAGAUUGAAUAGGCCUAUUUACUGCUGGAAAUUCUUCACCUGACUGACCCUGCCAGUCAAUGCUCCUUGUAACUCCAGUAAAGGGCAAAACCAUAGAAGGCUCUGGGCAGAAAUUUCUCACAGCUCCUACAAGAGAACUCCGUAGCUGAUUAGAUGCAGGUUGAAUAGCACUCCUAACCAAAGAAGAUGAUGGUGACAACCCAUUUGCCCCAAACCAUGCAGCAUCAGGUAAGCCAACUUGGUUGCUAUUAUUUGGUAUUGAUGACUCAGUUGGAAGACCUUGAAAGCUUGUGUAAGGACUUAUAUUUGCAAAUCUCUCCUUCAUUUUCUCUCCAAAUCCUAAGUUCCAGCUGCUUGGGAUUUGAUUAUAAUUUUGCCUAUCUACUAGUGGCAACAGGGUCCCAACACUCUCAUCCCUAGAUGGUUUAGAAAGCCCACCUACAUUCUGAAUUAGACCAGAAGAUCUAUCUAUAUUCUGCGCUUGAUGAGAAAAUCCAGCCACAUUCUGCACCAGACUAGAAAAUUCAUUAGCAUUCCACACCUGAUGAGAAACCCCACUUGCAUUCUGCCCUAAACCAGAAAGUGCAUCGUUAUGUUGUGCAUGGCCUAUGCUUAUAGACUCACUCUCAUUAGGCACUAGUCUAGCAAAUCCACCAUCGUACUUCUGGAAACUAGAAAAACCAUCAGCCACAUUAGAACUAGAUUUCAAAGAACUUCUAGCAACAUUUUGACCAGAAUAAGUGUUUAACAUGGGCAGAACAAUAUUUUUAUUGCUCUGAUUGUUAUCUUUGCUGGAGACAUUAUAUUUAGAUCUGGUCUCCAGAUUAGACCCAUAUCCAAGAGUAAGGAAAUUCCCAUCAAGCAUUUCAGGAUGAUUUGAUGGAGCUACACCUGCCACGAAACUGUUAUUCAUUCUCAAUUCUCCAUUAAUUGGUGGGUUGUGGCCUAAUACAUGUGUACUACCUGGAAGGAUGACUGGAUUUCCAAAUACCCAAGGCAUAUGAAUAUUAUUACUAUUUGCUUCUCUACCAGAUCUGUACAUCUGUGAGAUGUUUAUUCCCAUUUGUCCACUAGAUGGAUUAAGGCCUGAUACAGGUGCAGUAUGUGCAUGGGUGAUUUGAUUUUCAAUUAGCCAAGGCCUACAAAUAUCACUAUCAUUUGCUUCUCUACCAGCUUUUGACAUUUGUAAGCCACCACCCACAUCAAUCCCAGUGGUUACUGUAUUUCUCUCAAUUUGAGGAUUGUCAAGAUCAGUGGCAUGGAUAUUAGCAGUAGCUACUGAAUUCACAAGAGCAUCGUAUUGACCAAAUUCAUUCAAAUUCCCUACCAAAUCUGAAAAGCCUGAAACAGGCUCAUAUAAGUAACCAGGGCCAGUCACAGGAUUGUGAAAGACAUUACAUUGAGAGAUAUCAUCCUUGAUAACAGGAAAUGACAUUUCCUGUGCAUAAGAUUGAGGCAUUCCAUGCACAUCCACAGUUGGAAAAAAAGGUGCUGAUUGUGCCGUAUCAUCAAAAAUACCAGGAAGAUCAUCAGAUCCAUCCUGUAGAUCAAAGGGUUCCAGUUCUUUAUCGCUUUGUGGAAAGGAAGCAGACAUUGGCAAUUUAUCUCCUUGUUUUGGCUUUUCACUUGCCAUUUGCAUAACUGGUUCUGAAUCAACCAAUGACUAGAAAGGAAAAAAUGAUGAAAGACGGACUCUUUUUCAAGAUCAACAAGAACCAAAAGCACCAGCGGUUGAGUGACUGCUUAGAGAGAGAGAGAGAGAGAGA